This is a long non-coding RNA of Cimex lectularius (bed bug), 1703 nucleotides long. RefSeq lists it as uncharacterized. The record is from RefSeq and is a predicted model, not a curated record. The transcript is spliced from 4 exons. NCBI's taxonomy places the organism in Eukaryota, Metazoa, Arthropoda, Insecta, Hemiptera, Cimicidae.
UAUUUUUCUUUUUUUUUAAACACAUGUCAGUUGUCAGUAAUCCCAGUUGGAAAGUUAAAUUCAAAAUUCAUUUUCAAAUUUUUUUUUAAAUUUUUAUCAAGAGAAGAAAAAAAAUUUGGCCAAAGCAGAACAAAGAUACUGCAGAUAUUCUACAAAGUUUAUGGUAACGACUGGCUCAGUCAGGAGGUAAACCUCGGUAAAUAGAUCUGCAGCAGUCUCAGCAAUUGUCGGGCAAUUGGAAUUGUCAUGAUCCUAAAGGAGCUGAACACAACCUGGUAGACGCCCAGCGAUUGUUCACGUACAACGCUUUCUAACAGAAUGACAAUUUUUAAGAAAGCUCACUCCUCUGAUUUUUAAUUGAAUCAGGAUCAAUUUGUUUAUUUCCUCUUGUCAUCUGUACGAGCGGUUCAAAAUUGGACGCAUACAAUUUCAGCGCCUCAGAGUUAUGGUACAGUUUUUUCAAGAUUGACUUUUUUCUUUUUUCAAUACAUUUGUCAAUGGACAGUACAAACUCUUUAUUUGGGCCAUAACCACAAAGCCUUUCUUCUUGAAAAUCACAAAUGGUUGGCCUGGUGAACACCUCAAAAUGGGGAUCACCUUGGAAUGUCUUCACAGCGAGAACAGUGGAAAUCCACUUAUUUAUUACUGUGCUUACGCUGUUUAUCCAAUCUUCGGGCUCUGGAUACAGCUCGACAUUCGUUUCCCCCAUAAGAAGAUUAACAAGAAAGAGAGGAUUCUAUAAAAGAGAAAAUAAUGAAAGUUGGCAUGAAACCUAAGAAAAUACAGCCAACACACCUUAGGGUCUUCAGUUCUGGCAUUUUCAACAAUUAGAGAGGGAGGAACGUUUUCUAACAUUGGCAACUCAGGAAGAUAUUUGAUGUGAUUGCACAGUGUCAUUUUUAAGAUUUUUAGCGAUCUUCUUAGGAGUUUAAUCAAAAACGCUUGAACCAAAUAAUCUGCAACUCCUAGGCAUCUACAAAAGAUGAAUGUGAAAUAUAAGAAUAUCAAAAAGGACAAAAAUUGCUGAAUUUACCUUGAAAUCUUUAUACACUGUUUUUUCUUUGCUCUUCUAUCAUCAAAUGACAUCUUGUAGCGUCCGUCCUCUGUUGUCUCAAUGCCAAUCAUUGCUGCAGUGCCUGUUAAAAUAAAGCGUACUUAUUUAGUAUUUUAUAAAUGUCUAGAGAAAAUUGAAAAUGACAAAAUUACAAAAAAAGCUUGUACCUAUGAGCGUUGAAUCAACUUUCAAGUUGCUGUCGUCAGGCGUAAAUCCCAUUUCCAGUAAAUCUCCGUGACUACUGUUGUCAAGAAUUUGCUUAAUCAACUGUCUUGACUCGCUCAAUUUGGUUUGCACUUGAUUGAUUUGUUCGAUCUGAAAAAAAUCAAGUUAAAAUGUUUCUAAGACCCAGAAGAUAAAUGACUCACCUGAAUAUUCAUGAAUUCUUCCAAAUUGAGUUUUUCCAAGCCAGAACUCACGAAGAAUGACUCCUUGGAAAGGGACUCACAUACACUUUGAGUCUGCUGAAGAGCAUUUCGGAGUUCAGGCCUCACCAUAAUCAAUGAGGCCUCUAGCGAAGUUUGGUUUUCAACAAACUUCCUAGUUGUGAUUUUUUUCCUCCAGAGAGUGAAAUAUUUGUAGAGUUGAAACUGCCAAAAAGUUCUUGUCUACAAAAUUUUAUCAUUAUAAUAAAUUUAGUCUAAAGUGA